RNAcentral lists this ribosomal RNA (485 nucleotides) under uncultured bacterium. RNAcentral's name for it is "bacterial SSU rRNA". It matches the Rfam family "Bacterial small subunit ribosomal RNA", at positions 30 to 507 of the family's 1533-position model. The record is from RNAcentral.
AUUGAACGCUGGCGGCAUGCCUUACACAUGCAAGUCGAACGGCAGCACGGGAGCAAUCCUGGUGACGAGUGGCGAACGGGUGAGUAAUGCAUCGGAACAUGCCCAGUCAGUGGGGGAUAACUACGCGAAAGCGUAGCUAAUACCGCAUACGCCCUGAGGGGGAAAGUGGGGGAUCUUAGGACCUCACGUGAUUGGAGUGGCCGAUGUCAGAUUAGCUAGUUGGUGAGGUAAAGGCUCACCAAGGCGACGAUCUGUAGCGGGUCUGAGAGGAUGAUCCGCCACACUGGGACUGAGACACGGCCCAGACUCCUACGGGAGGCAGCAGUGGGGAAUUUUGGACAAUGGGCGCAAGCCUGAUCCAGCCAUGCCGCGUGAGUGAAGAAGGCCUUCGGGUUGUAAAGCUCUUUCGCAAGGGAAGAAAACGGCAAGGUUAAUACCUUUGUCGGCUGACGGUACCUUGACAAGAAGCACCGGCUAACUACGUG